CCUACGGGUGGCAGCAGUGAGGAAUAUUGGUCAAUGGGCGCUAGCCUGAACCAGCCAAGUCGCGUGAAGGAUGACUGCCCUAUGGGUUGUAAACUUCUUUUAUCUGGGAGUAAAGUGCCGUAUGUAUACUGCUUUGCAUGUACCUUAUGAAUAAGCAUCGGCUAACUCCGUGCCAGCAGCCGCGGUAAUACGGAGGAUCCGAGCGUUAUCCGGAUUUAUUGGGUUUAAAGGGUGGGUAGGCCGCAUGUCAAGCGUGCUGUGAAAUGUGCGGGCUCAACCCGGGCCUGGCAGGGCGAACUGGGUGGCUUGAGUGGGCGGAAAGCAGGCGGAAGGCGUGGGGUAGCGGUGAAAUGCUUAGAUAUGACGAAGAA
RNAcentral lists this ribosomal RNA (371 nucleotides) under uncultured bacterium. Its description in RNAcentral is "partial 16S ribosomal RNA". It matches the Rfam family "Bacterial small subunit ribosomal RNA", at positions 338 to 706 of the family's 1533-position model. The record is from RNAcentral.